AAUCAACGCUGGCGGCGUGCCUCAGACAUGCAAGUCGAACGAUUAAACUUUCCUUCGGGAAAGAUAUAAAGUGGCGCACGGGUGAGUAACACGUAGGUAAUGUACCUUUGGGUGGGGAAUAACCAUCGGAAACGAUGGCUAAUACCGCAUAAUGCAGCGGCAUCGCAAGAUGACAGUUGUAAAGCGAGCAAUCGCGCCUAAAGNGCAGCCUGCGGCAGAUUAGGAGUUGGUAAGGUAAUGGCUUACCAAGCCUGCGAUCUGUAACCGACCUGAGAGGGUGGUCGGUCACACUGACACUGAAUAACGGGUCAGACUCCUACGGGAGCAGCAGUAGGGAAUCUUGCGCAAUGGGCGAAAGCCUGACGCAGCCAUGCCGCGUG
RNAcentral lists this ribosomal RNA (380 nucleotides) under uncultured bacterium. RNAcentral's name for it is "bacterial SSU rRNA". It matches the Rfam family "Bacterial small subunit ribosomal RNA", at positions 32 to 403 of the family's 1533-position model. The record is from RNAcentral.